UAUUCUUAAUGUUUGUAAGGUAUGAAGAGAAAAUGUGUCUGAUGACACCUGAAGUCUUGCCAGCUGUGAAUAAUUCCAGUUAAGGUGCUAUGGAUAUUAUUUGGUAACAACAUAUAUUAUAGAAAUUGCAAUUCUUUGUAUUGAUUAUUAAACCAAAUGUGAAGAUUGGGGAAACGUGGAGAGGAAAAAUAAUAAUCAGAUCAUCCCUUUUAUUUUCAGGAAUGCACCAUAUGUCCUCAUCUGAAAGUCUCUGCAGGAUGAUGGUCUGACUCACGUACCCAGGGAUGACCUUCUGUGAAUGGUCUGCCUAGGUGUUCUGGUGGAUUCCUCCACAACUCCUUUUGAUAUUAUGUAGAUAUAAUACCUUUUAUCCUGACUUCAACAAGCCAAGAACAAUCUCCACUAUGAAAGAUGAAAAUUUAACGUUGACUACCUUUCCUCCCUUCUUCUUCUCCCAGUGUUUGAUAUUUAUGUUAUUAUUAGUUUAUUGAUUAUAUAUGUAAUUUUCAGUAACAGACUUAAAUUUCUAUUUCUUGCUCCACCUACUUUCAA
Molecule: long non-coding RNA, 552 nt
Organism: Pongo pygmaeus (Bornean orangutan)
Lineage: Eukaryota; Metazoa; Chordata; Mammalia; Primates; Hominidae
Exons: 2
Source: RefSeq, a predicted model, not a curated record